This 451-nucleotide ribosomal RNA is filed under the name uncultured bacterium. RNAcentral's name for it is "partial 16S ribosomal RNA". It matches the Rfam family "Bacterial small subunit ribosomal RNA", at positions 29 to 523 of the family's 1533-position model. The record is from RNAcentral.
AACGAACGCUGGCGGCAGGCUUAACACAUGCAAGUCGAACGGGCGUAGCGAUACGUCAGUGGCAGACGGGUGAGUAACACGUGGGAACCUUCCUAGGGGUACGGAACAACUCAGGGAAACUUGAGCUAAUACCGUAUACGUCCGUGAGGAGAAAGAUUUAUCGCCCUUAGACGGGCCCGCGUCGGAUUAGCUAGUUGGUGGGGUAACGGCCUACCAAGGCGACGAUCCGUAGCUGAUCUUAGAGGAUGAUCAGCCACACUGGGACUGAGACACGGCCCAGACUCCUACGGGAGGCAGCAGUGGGGAAUCUUGGACAAUGGGCGCAAGCCUGAUCCAGCCAUGCCGCGUGAGUGAAGAAGGCCUUAGGGUUGUAAAGCUCUUUUGCCAGGGACGAUAAUGACGGUACCUGGAGAAUAAGCCCCGGCAAACUUCGUGCCAGCAGCCGCCGUAA